Molecule: small RNA, 1098 nt
Filed under: Histoplasma capsulatum var. duboisii H88
Lineage: Eukaryota; Fungi; Ascomycota; Eurotiomycetes; Onygenales; Ajellomycetaceae
Description: Histoplasma capsulatum H88 hypothetical RNA
Source: RNAcentral
UUCCUUUCCUCCCGUCGUUCAUGCUCGUGCCAGUUCGGAUUUCGCCCCUCCUCGUCACACGAACUGCAUACAUCCGUAUAUGAGGGGCCCUCCCCCAUGUAUAUAUAUCCUUCAUCCAACCUCCCAGCCACCUCCUCGCUCUCUCUAGUCCCUACCAGCCAAGGCGUGAUGAGCGAUGAGUGAUGAAUCAAAGGAACAGAGCAAAACCGAAAAAAAGAAACCAUAACUAUCUAUUGACCAGAGUUUUAGUCAGCUAACAAUUCUUCCUCCUCCUCCUCGUCGUCGUCGUCUCCCGUUUUUGAUACAUACGAUAUGAUAGUUAUCCUGCUCAAUCAUUCAAUCAUCCCGGUCCAACCAGCUACCGGCCGGAUGCACUUCCCGUUACAUAUGCACGUAUGUGUACAGCACCUCCCUAGAUAGGGCUAGGGCGGGCCUACCUGCCGCUGUCCCUCCUACAUCCUACAUCCCCCGCUAUCCUCCUCGGUCUAUCUAUCGCUCUCUCUCUCUCUCUUUCUGUGUGUGAGUGGGUCUGUUUACUUGUUUUUAUCCGGUGAUACUUAUCGAGCUUCUCUCGAUAAGAUAACAUACAUCGCUGCUAACCCGCUAACCCGCUAAACCCCCGCUGCGACCUCUUGCUUGUUAAAAAAACACCUUCGAUCUCGAUACACGAAUACCAAUUCCGCUCUUCUGCUGCAUAAGCCGAAUUGUGUCUCUCCCAACCAAACCUCGCCGCGCCAUGGAUUGUUGGUUGGUAUGGGUAUGGGAGGGGGCCGAAGGAUAUUUUUCCGAACAAGUGCGGGAAGGCAAGGUAGGGAGGGAGGUGAGGAAGAGUAGAAUCGAAGAGUUAAGGCGCAUUGGCCAGUUUUUUCUUCCAUACUAACAAACUCAUGUUAAGUUACUACAGCGUAGCUAUGACUCGAUUAAAUUGUUGUGAUGAGUUUUGAACUAGUUCACCUCGUCAAGUGACUAACUUUGCUUUCCCUUGCCUUGCCUUUCCUUGCUUUCGUGAUGUGAUGUGAUGUGAUGGCUUUUUUUCAAGUUCUUUUUCGUUUCUUGAUGGGAUCUAUCUUCCUUCUUCGGCGAACUUGUUGGAGCAGC